This 468-nucleotide ribosomal RNA is filed under the name uncultured bacterium. RNAcentral's name for it is "partial 16S ribosomal RNA". It matches the Rfam family "Bacterial small subunit ribosomal RNA", at positions 28 to 507 of the family's 1533-position model. The record is from RNAcentral.
GACGAACGCUGGCGGCGUGCUUAACACAUGCAAGUCGAACGGAAAGGCCCUGCUUUUGUGGGGUGCUCGAGUGGCGAACGGGUGAGUAACACGUGAGUAACCUGCCCUUGACUUUGGGAUAACUUCAGGAAACUGGGGCUAAUACCGGAUAGGAGCUCCUGCUGCAUGGUGGGGGUUGGAAAGUUUCGGCGGUUGGGGAUGGACUCGCGGCUUAUCAGCUUGUUGGUGGGGUAGUGGCUUACCAAGGCUUUGACGGGUAGCCGGCCUGAGAGGGUGACCGGCAACUUGGGGACGGAGAGAGGGCCAAGACGCUGAGGGGGGGCGGAAGGGGGGAAUAUGGCAAAGGGGGGGAAGGCCGGAGGCAGAAACGCGGGGUGGGGGAGGACGGCUUUGGGGUUGAAAACGGUUUCCGCGUGUGAAGAAGGGGGGGGGACGGUAAGGGAAAAAGAGGCCCGGGCAAAUAAGGUG